This 7718-nucleotide long non-coding RNA is filed under the name Arachis ipaensis. RNAcentral's name for it is "long non-coding RNA (AIPA_LNC001602)". Lineage: Eukaryota; Viridiplantae; Streptophyta; Magnoliopsida; Fabales; Fabaceae. The record is from RNAcentral.
UUGUAUAAAAAAAUUUACACUGAUUAUAGUAAAAUAAAACGUUUUUUUAAACCCUCCCUUUGGUUGUGGGUUAAUCUAGUUUUUAACUUUUAAAGAUCCACCUCCAUCUCUUUUUUUGGAUCAUGAGUUCAUGACCCCUCUAUGUCUUCAUCGUCGGGAAGAGGUAUUUAUUCUGUUGAGCAGGUACAAACUUAAUGGCCCUACUUAGUAUAAAUUACAGUAGGAAUAAGGAAGAUCAAAGGGGUAACACAACAAUAUAGACGCGGAUUUCACUCUGAAAAGUACUUUUCUAUACAUCCAACAUAUUUGGAAGUAAAAAAAAAAAAUGUCCAGCAAUUUGUAAACAAUCUGAAGGUGCACCUUAUCCUUGAUAGCAACAACAAAAAUUAGGCAAUCACUAUUUGCAGAAACCUGAGGAAAUACAAUGGCACAAACGGGAACAGUUAGCAUCUAGGCUUGUUAAAGAUGAAUCACAGGGAGAAACAUUGGGAGAAAAAAAUGCACUUCCUGAACUUCAAGUGAGGGUGUUUCGUUUGAGGAUAACAGCUUCAAAACCCAGAUUCCACAUGAACUCCCUCUGAUUUCUUUAAGAGGGAUCCUCGUCGUUGGUACAAAAUUCAUAAUGUGAAUGUGAACUACAUGAUUCACAUAACUAAAGAAGCAUCCGAACAAAUAGUCUGGAAUCAAUGACAUCAAAAGAUCCUCUGUUGUCUAUGGAAAACGGCAUCUCGCAAGAAUGAAAGAGAGUCAAAACAUGGCAUGGAGGACGAAAAGCAUCCACAUUCAUUAUCGCUGACCAUCAGUACUUAACAAUACUAGUUCACUUUCUUGCGUUAAGGCCUUGUACUUGAAAUUGAUAGGGAGCCAUCUCUUAAGACCCUCAGGCCAAUACCUGGCAGAAAAACAUAAAAACAAUAUCAAUGUUUAAAAUUAUAAAAGGAAGUAAACCUUGCCCAGCUGGGUUGAUUACAUAGAUCAUAUUUGAAUUUAAACCUUUGACAUCUGUUUCUUUUGACAGUUUAAAUAUUGGUUUUCUGUCUUCUGUCUCUUAACCAUUAAAGAGCCCUUUAUUUGAUUUGCCCUCCUUAUUAGGACUUCUAUAAGCCUUUUCCAGAAAUGCCCAAACCAUUUAACACAAGAUUCUACCAUUUGUUUCACAAGAUCCCAACUUUCUCUAUAAUGCAUCUAUUUGUGUUUUGUGAUCCCAUCUUUUCAAAUGCGUAUACUUGCCCAAAGUCACAUCCUCACUGGAAUACUAAACUUGAUUUCUUUGUAGUUUAUAACUGGCAAACAUUAAGUCUUAUACAAGCACUGGAAAUCUUAUGGAUAUAUGGUCAAACAUUCCUCAAUUUUUGUCUUUAGGUAAGAAUUUUUUAUUGGUGACUACUGUUGGGUACAACUUUCUCCGUCAGUCCCCCGUGCUUUCACCCUAUCAUCUUAGUCCUAGACAUUCUAGCCUCGUUUUUCAUCUUAGUCUCAAACCAUAGUAAAAUAUAGCUUAAGUAGGAAGCUGCAUGAAACAUCUCAUAAUAUCCUGGUUGUAUCUUAUAGAUAAUCUUACGAGUACUUUUCAUAAUUGUUUAUAUUCUGUAAUUUAUUUUCGUAUUUAAUUAGGAUUAGUAGUCAAUUAUUUAUAUGAUUAUGGAUUAGUAAUUUGUCUUUAAAUACAUGACAACAUAUCACAUCAAUAUCAGACAAAUUAAAAUUAUUUUAUAGAUAAAACACACACGUUAGUACUAUUGUCCCUAUAUUCUCUCCUUUUCCUUUCCCUGUCCAACACCCAUAACAUCAUUAUGGUUAAACCUAGCAGUAAAAAAAAUGCACAAGUUAAAAUUGACACCAAGUCAAGUGGAAAGGAUAUUACAGUUACAGUGGCCUUUAACGUCAAUGAGACUAAGAAGAGAUAUCAAAUAAUUUUCCUGGAAUCUCUCCUAGAAUAUAAAAUAGGCACUUACUUGUCCACUCUUUCACAAAUUGCUCGACGAACAGAAGAAUUAAGGCCAUAUGCAAUUGAAUUAAAGAGGCCCUGCAAUAAAGAGAGAAAAGUGAAAAAAUUAGCUACAUUCAUCAUAACUUUUCAUGAUGUUGCAGUUGAUGGUACCACUUCUAAUGAUAUCACUAAGGGAUGGCAACAAAUUAAGAGGAAAAGCAUAUAAUAUUGCAGCAAACUGGAAAGUGAUUAAAUGUGAUAUCAUUACCAUGUGAUGCACUUGUGUAAAUUAUAAAUAAAAACUAUUUUAGACUAUCACUGGAGUUCACAACAUUAAUUAACAAAAAGUUACCAAAAAAAAAAAAAGAAUCAUUGACCAAUAUCAAACUACUGGAAAACCUUGACCAACAUUUAAAUCAAUGUUUUCAAUUAUCAUAGUAAUCAGGUAACCAGUACCUCUUAUAAGGCCAGUAAAGUCAGAAGCGCACACUUGUUAAUGUAUGCAAGGUAGUUGGAAGCACAUCCUUGAAUGGAUUUUAUAUUUUUUCACUUUAAAUAUUUCCUCAAUUUUGAAUAAGUUGUACUCAGAUGUAUUGGGUUAUGAAUUGAAUAAAGCAUUUGAUCUGUUAUUGACAAGAAUGAAGGGAACACAAAAUAUGCCCGAUUGUUUGAAAAGUAAAAAUGCCCAGAAAUGGGUGCUAGAAAAUGGAUGGAACAGACAAAUUAUAAUAACAAGGCCUUUUUCCUACUAAAUGGCACUAUUCUGUUUGAACGAUAAAUGUGUUAAGUUUUGAUAUAAGUUAUAAAGCAUACAGUAAAUUGAAAAUCUGAAACUAUGGUUACUGGUUGAUACCAUAAGAGAAGCCAUUCCGACAUCUAGAAAUGAGAGCCAGAAGAUCUUAUGGUUGGGUUCAAAGAAAUCAUGAAUACGGUUAAUGGUUCCAAAAGCCCAUGAUCCUAUUAGAAUCAGUGGAUAGUAUCCCCAGCGAUUUAGAGCCUGUAACAUAAAAUAGAAAAUACUUCAAGUAUUUUUCAAUAAGAAUGUAGAUUCAAAAAAUAACAACAGUUUCAUCUUAAGCGAUUAGUUUAGGCAUAAAUACAAAUCUAGUCAUCAUGAAAUCCCAGCCAACAAUAUAUAUAUAUAAGUGGUGAAGCUUGUGGAAGUCUAAGCACAUUAUAAAGACAGCGCAAAGUUUAAUUCAGAUUAAUGAAAAAGGAAAUGCAUAAUCAUGAAAAGCUUUUCCAUGAAAAUUUCCUACAUUAGCAGAAAAAAAGCUACCCUAGAUUCCUAGAGUGAUUUAAUCAUCCACGGAACAGAAAACAGAAAAAGACUCAAGAUACAAUACAACAACAAUAACCAAGCCUUUUCCCACUAAGCAUAUAUGCAAGAUACUUUAUGGAUCAAACAAUACCUUUGCAUCAUAUCAUAAACCGAGUCCUAUAAACAAGCCAUUAAAUAAUGAUUUCCUCCAUGGUCUACCUCUAAUGCUUGCCAAUUGCAGUACAAAGAUUAUUUUAUGUUUGAAAGGGAUCUUUGUUGUAGCUCUUUUUUAUUUUUUAUUUUUUUGGGUUCCAUUCUCUGAGUAUGGAUAUUUGUUUUCAAUGUUGGAAUAACAAACAUACCCUCAUGUUAUCCCGUGCAUCUGAUGCAUAAGGUUGGCCUGACAUACCAACUGCCAUCUGUAAAAUUUGCCAAGAAACAUUAAAUAGUCUCAAAAACUUGCUAUACAAGUUGUUUCUUCUUUGUUUGACAAAAUCAGCAAAAUUAGAUACAUACACGGGUUGCAUUGUUCAGCAUGCGUAUAACUUGGAAGUAUGUGAACCCAUUAUAUAGUAUAGCAGCCCAGAUAAAUGAGCUCUCACCUCUCAGCAAUGAAGAUGCAAUAGGAUAGUUGAAAUCAAGAACAAAUUUUGAAGUCUAACGCUCCAACUAUUGGUAGAUAAUGACGCCAUACAUCUGCAUGAUAUUGCUCAAUAAAGUAAUCUUAGAAGUAAUAUGAUUAGAAAGUCACAGAAGACAAAUAUUAUUGCAAAUAGUCCAUUUUUCAAACAACAAUAUAUAAAGCUGAUACAUUAUAGAUGCAUACCCCAGACAUACAAGUGAAAUAGUCAUCAAAGAAUAUUCAGCUAUCUAAGAAUUCCCGGUCAUGCUAUUCUGACGAGCACCUUAUUCUUUUUGCCAGCAGAUAAAAGGAGAACUUUCCCAUCCACUAUAUCUGCUUCCUCGAUCCUCUUAUUUUCACUAUUCACUCUGUUAUUGUUCAAGUAAAGACCCCCUUGCUUCAACAAGCGGCGCGCGGCAGAUUUGCUCUCAAACAAACCAGAAGAGACCGAAAGAUCUACCAAUGACAAGUUCAAAACACUGUCAUAAGCCAAAGAACAAGAUGGUACACCCUCAGCUAUUCCCUCGAUAGUUUUCCAGUCCAACUUUGUCUCAGAUCCCGGCCGCAAUGCUUCUGUAGCCUUAAGUGCCUCAGUCAAACCCUCCUCUCCGUGAACAAACCUUGUAACUUCCUCAGCAAGUCUGCGCUGAGCAGUAUUAGGCACAUAAUCCAGUUUCUUCAUCUCCCCUUCCAAUGCAACUAUCUCCUCAAUAUCCAAAAACGUGAGAAUCUUCAAAAACCUAAUAACAUCUGCAUCUGGAACCGUGAAAAAAUACUGAUAAAACUUGUAAGGUGACAACAUCGCAGGUGAAAGCCAAAUCGCGCCAUCUUCCGAUUUUCCAAACUUAGUACCAUCACUCUUCAACAAAAGAGGGAAUGUAAGUCCAUAAGCGCCCUCGACCUGCAAGAUCUUCCGAAUCAACUCAGUCCCAGCAGUUAUAUUCCCCCACUGAUCACUCCCCCCAAUCUGAACAUUCACACCCUCAUUCUGAAACAAGUACAAGAAAUCAUAUCCCUGCAACAACUGGUAGGUGAGUUCAGUAUAACUCAUUCCUUGUUCAGAUUCCAAUCUCUUCCUAACACUCUCCUUAGCUAUCAUAGACCCAACCCUAGCAUACUUACCAACAUUCUUCAAAAAUUCUAACAAACUAAACUCUUUCCACCAGUCAUAGUUAUUCAAAAUCACAACCUUAGAACCUUCCAAGUUCGAAUUCAGAGAGCGACCUAGAAUUUGUUUGAUAGUUUGGGAUAUACCUGCCGUGUUCCUCUCUAGUGUGGCAACGUCGAGCUCCGGCCGCUCCAGUGACUUGCCGGAGGGGUCGCCAAUGCGGGCGGUGGCGCCGCCGAUGAGGGCAAGGGGUUGGUGGCCGCAGCGGUGGAACCAGGAGAGGACGAUGAUUCCGAGGAGGUUGCCGAGGUGGAGGCUCUCUGCAGUGGGGUCGAAGCCGCAGUAGACCUUCAAAGGCGGGCAAUUAGCGGCCCCGGAGAAAGAUGGCGGCGAUGGUGCUGCGGAGGAUCUCAGGGCGGAGUCAUUGGUGGUGGAGUCGAGGAGGCCGCGCUCUUCGAGGACUUCGAUGACGUUGCGGCGAAGCAGAGUUUGAGGUUGGUGUUGGAGAGUGCAUUUGGUUCUGGUGAAAUGGAGAGUGAGGGAAGAAGAAGAAGAAGAAGAAGAAGAAGAAGAAGAAGAAGAAGAAGAAGAGGGUUUGAAAGGGAAAAGGGAGAGUUUGGUGGUUGAGCGAGAUAAGAAAAGGAUAGUUCUUGUCGAAGCAUAGAUGUAAGCCAUUGCUGCUUCUCUCUGCCAGAGUUUGCUUCCUCUAUCUCUAUCUUCCUUCCAUUUUUAUAAACAAUAUUAAUAUUAAUGGGAUAAUUCACAUAAUUGCACUUUCCACCUCUAAAUUGUAUAUUACUAGUGCAUCGACAACGCACAUGGCACAAAAAUAAUGAAAAAACGUUUAUGUUAAUUAAAACUGAAAGGCAUAGUAUUCAAUUAACUUAAAUAAUGAAAAAUUAUUAACUAAUACAUAUAAAUAUAUAUAAUAUAUAAUAAUUAAUUUUUAUAAUAAUAGAUAGACUAUUAAAAAUUAAAAAAUACUAAGAUCUUAUGUUCUCUUUAAACAUAUCUUAUAUUAUUCUGAGUCAAUUUGUUCUUAUUUUAAACUCCAAGCAUUUAGUUUCAAAAUUUGUAUAACCUGAAUUUCAUUAUUAAAUACAAAAAGAAUAAAUUUUAUAGGGAUAUAAAUUAUCCUUUUUUUUUUUUAACAAUGAAAUGAUCAAUCUGUAAUGAAUUAUAAUGUACAGAUUUAAGUUUACAGAUAUUUCCAUAACAUAACUCUUCUUUCAACACAUGUAGUAUUUUAUCUUUAUAUUGGGGAAGCAAUUUGGCCAGCUGUGGUGAUCUAGAAAGUUAAUGGCUUUGCGAGUUACAUGACUUUCUUUAAUUCAUUUGUAAACUAAUAUUCGAUGAAAAUUUUUUGGAAAUUAGCAACUUUUAGUAAUUUUGGUCAUUAUUUAGUCAGUAUAAAUAUUAAAUUAUUUUAACAAAUAAAUUUUAUUAAUUUAUAUAUACAAAUUCUAAAAAAUAUAGGUACAAACUGUAUUGAUUUAUAUGUAUAAAAUUUUAGUAAAUAUAAAUACAAAUUAUAUGUUUUUGUGUGUAAAACGUCUAUAAAUAUAGAUAUAAAUUAUUGUUAACAAAAAAUAAUAAUAUUUGUUAAUGACUAUGUAACAUUGCUCAUAUUCUAAUUCAACUUACCAUUUCUCUAUUCAUAAUUUUGAAUUCCUUUUAAUUACUUACAAAUUUAUUUAUUCAUAUAUUUAUAAUAUGUCAUAUAUAUAUAUAUAUAUAAUAUAUAUGAUUUUCUUUAAUUCAUUUGUAAACUAAUACUUUGAGAGAAAUUUUUGAGAACUAGCAAUUUUUAGUAGUUUUGGUCAUUAUUUAGCUAGUACAAAUAUUAAAUUAUUUUUAACAAAUAAAUUUUAUUAUUUUAUAUAUAUAAAUUUUGAAAAAUAUAUGUAUAAACUGUAUUGAUUUAUGUGUACAAAAUUUUAGUAAAUAUAAAUGUAAAGUAUAUAUUUUUGUGUGUAAAAUAUCUAUAAAUAUAAUUAUAAAUUAUUGUUGGUUAAAAAUAAUAAUAUUUGCUAGUAGUGAUGUAACAUUGCUCAUAUUUUAAUUCAACUUACUAUUUCUUUAUCCAUAAUUCUGUAUCCUUUUUAAUUACUUGUAAAUUUUUUUAUCCAUAUAUUUAUAUUAUGUCAUAUAUAUAUAUAUAUAAUGCUUAAAAUGGUUAAUAAUAAUACUAAUAACAUUUUAUUUAUUCAAUUAUGAAAUAUAUUUAAAAAUUGGCAUUAUGUUUUCAAUUAUUUACAUAUUUACUUAACUAUUUUUCCUAUUAAUAUGUUAAAUACUUCUAAAUUUUAAUAGUAUCUAAUUUAAAUACUUGAUACAUGUAUUAAAAUGACUAAAAAAUAUGAACAAAAAAAAAUUAUAAGAGUCUAAUUAUGCAAUAUUUAUAUAUAAAUGGUCCUUCGGUCUGAUGGUAGUGAAAUUGCCCUGAUUUUUUUUAAAUUUGUAAUUAAGUGAAAUAAUUACAUGAGUGAAAAAAUUUGGAAUAAAAAAUUAGAGAGUUAUGUAUUUGUAAUAUAAGGAAGAUCAAAGGGGUAACAACAAUAUAGACGUGGAUUUCACUCUGAAAAGUACUUUUCUAUACAUCCAACAUAUUUGGAAGUAAAAAAAAUGUCCAGCAAUUUGUAAACAAUCUGAAGGUGCACCUUAUCCUUGAUAGCAACAACAAAAAUUAGGCAAUCACUAUUUGCAGAAACCUGAGGAAAUACAAUGGCACAAACGGGAACAGUUAGCAUCUAGGCUUGUUAAAGAUGAAUCACAGGGAGAAACAUUGGGAGAAAAA